This 352-nucleotide ribosomal RNA is filed under the name uncultured bacterium. RNAcentral describes it as "bacterial SSU rRNA". It matches the Rfam family "Bacterial small subunit ribosomal RNA", at positions 157 to 507 of the family's 1533-position model. The record is from RNAcentral.
GACGGGCUAAUAUCAGAUAAUGCAGCGACUCCGCAUGGAGACAGUUGUUAAAGUACAAGCGCCUGAAGAUGAGCCUGCGGUCCAUUAGCUAGUUGGUAGAGUAACAGCCUACCAAGGCAACGAUGGAUAGCUGGUCUGAGAGGAUGAUCAGCCACACUGGAACUGAGACACGGUCCAGACUCCUACGGGAGGCAGCAGUAAGGAAUAUUGCUCAAUGGCCGAAAGGCUGAAGCAGCAACGCCGCGUGAAGGAUGAAUGGCCUUUGGCCUGUAAACUUCUGUAAAAAGGGAAAAACAGUCGGGUAUAUCCUGAUUUGAUUGUACCUUUGAAGUAAGCCCCGGCUAACUACGUG